This 289-nucleotide unclassified non-coding RNA is filed under the name Clavatospora longibrachiata. RNAcentral describes it as "partial internal transcribed spacer region". The stretch from base 1 to 46 matches the Rfam family "Eukaryotic small subunit ribosomal RNA", at positions 1786 to 1831 of the family's 1831-position model. Lineage: Eukaryota; Fungi; Ascomycota; Sordariomycetes; Microascales; Halosphaeriaceae. The record is from RNAcentral.
AAGUCGUAACAAGGUUUCCGUAGGUGAACCUGCGGAAGGAUCAUUACCGAGAUUUUUUCCUGCUUGCAGGAAAUCUCCCACCCUUUUGUGUAACGAAAUUUUGAUAUACUUUGGUAAAGCGCUUGUUGAGCAUACGUGCUAAGCAACCAGUGACUGACUUUUUUUUUAUGUUAGUGGCUGUGUCCUUGCCAAAGGACCCCAAAUAUAACUCUAUUUUAUAUAAUUAUUUUGUCUGAGUUUAUAAUUUUUAAAAUAAACAAAACUUUCAACAACGGAUCUCUUGGUUCUG